GUGGAGCUGUUUGGUAGCUCACAAAGCUCAUAACCUUGGGGUUACGGGUCGAU
RNAcentral lists this transfer RNA (53 nucleotides) under Entolasia imbricata. Its description in RNAcentral is "tRNA-Met". Lineage: Eukaryota; Viridiplantae; Streptophyta; Magnoliopsida; Poales; Poaceae. The record is from RNAcentral.